UACGUAGGAGGCGAGCGUUGUCCGGAAUUACUGGGCGUAAAGAGCGCGCAGGCGGUCUUCCAAGUCAGUGGUGAAAGCCCGGAGCUCAACUCCGGAACUGCCAUUGAAACUGUGAGACUGGAGUACGAGAGAGGUGAGUGGAAUUCCCAGUGUAGAGGUGAAAUUCGUAGAUAUUGGGAAGAACACCGGUGGCGAAGGCGACUUACUGGACACAUAUUGACGCUGAGGUGCGAAAGCGUGGGGAGCAAACAGG
RNAcentral lists this ribosomal RNA (253 nucleotides) under uncultured bacterium. Its description in RNAcentral is "partial 16S ribosomal RNA". It matches the Rfam family "Bacterial small subunit ribosomal RNA", at positions 524 to 776 of the family's 1533-position model. The record is from RNAcentral.